CCGCCCUUAGCUCAGUUGGUAGAGCAAACCGCUUAUACCGGUUAGGUCCUUGGUUCGAGCCCAAGAGGGCGGA
Molecule: transfer RNA, 73 nt
Filed under: Candidatus Nomurabacteria bacterium RIFCSPLOWO2_12_FULL_44_11
Lineage: Bacteria; Candidatus Nomuraibacteriota
Description: tRNA-Ile
Rfam family: tRNA
About the family: Transfer RNA (tRNA) molecules are approximately 80 nucleotides in length. Their secondary structure includes four short double-helical elements and three loops (D, anti-codon, and T loops).
Source: RNAcentral